RNAcentral lists this long non-coding RNA (266 nucleotides) under Medicago truncatula (barrel medic). RNAcentral's name for it is "lncRNA gene22783". The record is from RNAcentral. Lineage: Eukaryota; Viridiplantae; Streptophyta; Magnoliopsida; Fabales; Fabaceae.
ACCGCAACCAUCUUUAUUGUCCCUCCGAAAAUUUAUUUUUCAAUUAUUCAAAUACCAUUGUACAAACUUGGAUCCGGAUUCUCUGCUGCCGCAUGACGGUGCUGCGCGAUCUGGACCAUCAAUUUCAGUCAAUUAUAAGCAAUCAACAACACAAGUUAAUUGAUGGAUGAUUCAGAUCAAGAGCAGGACAAAAAGCAUGAGAGAGAGGCAGAAGAGGAUCUGCUUCCUACAAACUUAGUUAGGAUUUACGAUUAAGGUGGUGUAUA